UACGUAGGUGGCGAGCGUUGUCCGGAUUUACUGGGCGUAAAGGGAGCGUAGGCGGGCUUUUAAGUGAGCGGUAAAAAUUCGGGGCUCAACCCCGUCCGGCCGUUGAAACUGGGGGCCUUGAGUGGGCGAGAAGAAGGCGGAAUGCGUGGUGUAGCGGUGAAAUGCAUAGAUAUCACGCAGAACCCCGAUUGCGAAGGCAGCCUUCCGGCGCCCUACUGACGCUGAGGCACGAAAGUGCGGGGAUCGAACAGG
RNAcentral lists this ribosomal RNA (252 nucleotides) under uncultured bacterium. Its description in RNAcentral is "partial 16S ribosomal RNA". It matches the Rfam family "Bacterial small subunit ribosomal RNA", at positions 524 to 776 of the family's 1533-position model. The record is from RNAcentral.